UACGUAGGUCCCGAGCGUUGUCCGGAAUUAUUGGGCGUAAAGCGCGCGUAGGCGGUUUCUUAAGUCUGAUGUGAAAGCCCACGGCUCAACCGUGGAGGGUCAUUGGAAACUGUUAAACUUGAGUGCAGGAGAGAAAAGUGGAAUUCCUAGUGUAGCGGUGAAAUGCGUAGAGAUUAAGAGGAACACCAGUGGCGAAGGCGGCUUUUUGGCCUGUAACUGACACUGAGGCGCGAAAGCGUGGGGAGCAAACAGG
Molecule: ribosomal RNA, 253 nt
Filed under: uncultured bacterium
Lineage: Bacteria
Description: partial 16S ribosomal RNA
Rfam family: Bacterial small subunit ribosomal RNA
Source: RNAcentral